GUUUUUGAGCGCCAAACUCAAACUUAGCUUGGCUUUCUUUUGUUUUAAUUCAGCCUUUUAAGCUUUGUUUUUACCCAGGUGGACAUGAAGCCGCAAGAACUAAUUGUUUAACUAAUUCUAGGUAGUCAUCAUUUAAUAUAAGUUUUUCAGGCCGAUAUACUUAAGGGCCUGCCAUGAAAGACUUGGCUUUCAACACAUAAAACGUGGGAAGCCUCUCCCUUUUAUUGAGGAGGCAUCCAGCCAGGCAAUGCCUUGUCUAUUUUUUAACAAAUGACCUUUCAUGAUGACGAUCUCACAACCUGAUACAUUUGAGAAUAAUUUUUUUAAUCAAAUAUAAUGUUUUAAGUUCAAACUUUAACAGUCUAAAAGUGCUUACUAGUUGUCUUCUAGAAACUAUAAAUUAGUAAACAGCUGCACAUUUAAAUGAGCACUACCAAGCUAGUUUAUCAGCAUAAUCAAGCAAGAUCUCGUUUUCCAAGUUUGUUUUGCUUAAAUAGUUGCAUUCAAACUUGUUCUUUAAUUUUAUCAAUGAAUAUAGAUGAGUUUUUAGUAAGCAUGUUUAUGAGAUGUUCACCAAGUACACUGAUUCAUUUGCUGCUCUACAAUGCUUCUUCGCUAUUCUUGACAAUUACUUUGAAUGCUCUGAAAUGUGUUUUACUAUUCAAAG
RNAcentral lists this unclassified non-coding RNA (667 nucleotides) under Hevea brasiliensis (rubber tree). Lineage: Eukaryota; Viridiplantae; Streptophyta; Magnoliopsida; Malpighiales; Euphorbiaceae. The record is from RNAcentral.